UUCUCCCACGCUUCCCCGAGGCACCCUGUAUGGACACGAGGUUGUCAUUUUCGAGAAUGCUCGCUUGGGAAAUUCUCUCAUUCUCGCGACGUGCAAUUAGGCCAGGCAACUGUGCAUAGCUCGAAGGACCCAGGGAAUCUUUCCCAGCAUCUGGGAGGAACGUCGAGACGGUUCUUCUCGACGUUCCCGGUGCAAAAUGUGCAAGGUAGAGCUAUCAGGUCUACGGGGGAUUGCUUUUUAAACCGGCACUCCCGGGUUAGUCGGCCGCAAGAGCGAAGGGAAGAAUAAAUAAAUAAAAGAAACGUGUCGAGAGGGGAGAUAUUGCCAUCGGAAGGAGCUAGUCGGCGUACCUCUGCACCAGGAAUCCCAUCGGUACCCUGAGGACAAACAUAAACCUGUUAGGGGGUGGAUCUUAAGCCCCUGGUUCAUCUCGGCAGAGGAGAGAUAUGAGGAAUAUUAAAGCGGCUUUAUUAUUCAGGUCGAUAAGGUAAAUCGAAGUGUGCUCACCUUCAUGCCGUCUAAUCCUGGCGGACCCUGAAAGGUAGAGGAAACCAAAAUCAAAUUCGAUGGAAAAGAAACGUCGAACGAGCGCGCUCGUUGGCUUGGCUUUAAUGCACAACUAUGGGAGGAGUGGCCUUACACAACAGAUCUCGAAGAUACCGUGGGAGAGAGACAAAGAGUAAGAGAGAAAGAGAGCGGAAAGUGAGACGGUUGCUACGGGAGACAAAAUGCAGAUCGGGUAAUUCACAAUUGAACCAAAGAACGCCGAGGUAUCUCGCAGAAUAACUAAUGCUAGUAGCUUAUCGGAACGCAAUCACCAACCCAAUUGGACGAGGACGAUUGACCCUGCCCCGAUUGGAGGAAUCUGAUUAAGGCGCGUUGGCACGACAUUCCGCUCUGUACAGACCUUUUCAAAGUACAUCCGACCACCUCGACAUGCUAACUUCACCUGUGCCUUCCUCUACGAGACACUCUCACCGUAUUAAUCGGACCUAUCGAUCACCGAUCGAGGUUCCUCCUCUACGCUCGCAUUUUUGCGCCGAAGAGACCUCUAGUCAUUAAUUGGAAAAUCUCACGUCUCAGCUUUCAAAGCGUAUUUUAUAGCUUCCUUCGACGCGGUCUCAUUUUGUCAUGCUUCUCGUCCCAUUAGUUCGGCUAGUCAGAUUCCGUUUGGAAGUAUUUUUUUCCUUUGGAGAGAGAUUUUAAUGGACACCGCUAGCACCAACGGUAAUCGGAAAGUGUACUCGAAUCGUUUAAUUGCCACCUAAGUUAGGGCCGGAUAUUUUUAAUCGUGGUUUUGGAAUGUUUAUCACGGAGCGAUACACUGAGAGAAAUUCACCGAGGGGAAGGUCUAUUUAGAUAUAUAUAUAUUUUUUGGGGGGAUAAUUAUAUGUUCAAUAUUUAAUGCAAUGUUUUUGGUAUAAGUGAGAGAGGUAUGGCAUUGCAAAUUUAAUUCCGUUUUCUUUCAGUGUAUGCCUCCUGGGUUUACCGACAUCCUGUAGACAUCUCUAUUUUGUAUCUAUGGAAAGGAUGUCGAUUCGCCAGUCAAUCGAAUUUCCGAGAUAAUAGCUUCCUGCACUCUAUCCGGCGCACCCUGAUGCCUCAAGACGGAAUAAUUGCGACUAUUGCAAAAUUGACUAUCUACUUGUCGUAGCUUAUAACACGGGUUAUUGAACGUUUAAUCGCUACCUCGAAACUCGUUGUUAACCUUGGUUAGCUGCUCCGUCGAAAUCGGUUCGCAAGAAUCGGCCGGCGGAGCGUUUUUCGGCCCUCGGUAAUUGUAAUCUCGAUUUUAAUCGGAAAAGCAUUGCGCUUUCAUCGGCCAUUAGUUACCGGUAAACAUCGGGGUACUACAUGUCUCGCGUCUUGCAAAAUAACAUCCAUAAUCGUGCGAUCAAGUAAACUAUAUAUAUAUAGUACUGUAUAUAUAUAUAUAUACAGUUUGCAUAAAUUCAUGGGAAUUAUCGUGCGUUAUGUAUCGUGCGAUAUGUUGGGCAAAAAUAUACGAGGCGGCUAUGCCCUGACGAAUUUUCCUUAAAUUCCAGCCGGUUGUCCAUGUCCUCCCGCAAUGCCUGUUAUCACGGCACGUUAUCAUACGUCGCUACGUAAGAGGACUGCCGUUAAAAGGAAAAGGAAUACGAGGGAAAAUUCGUCCAGGUUCUCAGGAUUCAGCCAGGCUUCACGUCAUUGUAAAUCCGAAGAGCCCCUAAAUACGCUGUUAAUAAUUUUUGCGCUUGUACACCUGUGUCCGAUGUUGCCUCCUUCGGGCUCUCUUUAUGGACACGAGGUCAGAGGUUGGCGAUCGCUAAUUGAACCGUGUGACACCGCCCAAGAAAUCGGAGCACUUAUUCUCUACGUGGCGGCGUAUUGGAAAUCCUGCCGGCGAUCCUGCGAGCGGGAAGGAUCAGGCUGUUCGAUAAGAGAUUAGAGAAGACGGGGUGAAAGCGGUUACUUGAAAUCGAACAGCCUGUCUGUUUUACGGCCAAUUGCCGGGGAUCUCGGGGACACCCUCGCCAUUGGGAGGCCUUUUUGCGUCAAUAAUCUCUCGUAUGUAUGUACAGGUCGCGGUCGAAAUUGACAUUUUUGGCGAGGGCGUCCCCGGAAUCCACGGGCAAACCGCGCCGGAGAGUCGUCGGUCGGUCUAAAGGCCCUUCUGUCAUGCGAAAAUAUCUCUCAUCUUUAUCCGGGUCUAUGGACGCUACGACUAACAAUGGGGGGAGGUCGGUAAUUAUCAUCGCCGCGAGUCAUCUCGCGACAGGUGACACGUCGAAUUAACACAUCGACACCGCGAUCUAUGGAUCGUCUCGAGACGACGUCGCUGGGAUACCUCGAAGACAUUGCGAUCGAAUCUCCUUAAUUAAUUAACACGGCUUUCGAGGUGAGCCUCGAGGAGCCCGGUAAAUGGCCUAGUUUAACGUAGGUCCUUGUUUUAAAUGUCGACACAAUCGUUAUUUCAUUCCCCGCGAGGGCCAGAGACUCUUUACUUAAAGGUGGCACACCCUUACUCUACCAAACUGAUUAGGCGUACCGUAGUUAAGAUUUGAAACGUCAAAAGUGUAUAAAAAAUAUCUCUUGCCUUCAAUCGAUUCGAGAGCCAAUUCGUGCCAGGGAAGAUAGGUUAGAUAUUGUACAUAAAAGACGGUACGGCAAUGAAUUCAACGGUAAUAGAGUAAUUGAUAACACGCGGUUUAAUCACAACGGGGGAAGGUUUUUGCGAUCGAUCCGUGACUGCGUAUGAAUAUUUAAAACAUGGACUCGGUGGAAAUGGUGUACAGAUGUUCGGGGGAUUCUUCGUAUUUUUCUUUUUUUUUUCCUUUUUUUCUUUUUACACUGCUUAGCCUCGUGCCAUUUUCCGCGAAUGAAACGGUCCAUUUACGUCGCCUAGGAUUUAACUAAUUAAUUGUCUACGCGAAAGCAGGCCGUGCCAGUGUAGCGUCGUGGAACAACGAGUCGUUAACGAAUCGACGUCGCAGCUCGUCGAGCCGAGGAUUACUGUCGGGUUGCAAUUACCAUUAAUUAAUUAACGACCCUCGCGUGUCCACCUUUGCGCAUGUCGACUUGAAUUUAGGCUCGAAAACGUUUAUCUAACGAAAGGACCCGCCGUGCGAGUCGACCUGGAAGCCCUGAGUCUUUCAGAUCCCGACGACGGUUAACGCUUCGUAAUAAAGCUCAGUCUGGAGUAAUCGUUAUGUACAUCGGCGAUUCGACUCGUGUUCCAGCUGAAAGGACUAACUAAAACUAGACCUUCCGAGAUGCGUCGAGAUUUCCUGCCCAUACCUCGCUAUUUGUAUAAGGCUCCGCACUUACACCGCGCGUAUACGCACUUGGCGCGAAACUCAGCCGAGUUCUUUACUAGCGCGAGGUAGAACGAGCGUUCGGAAGAUUCCCUAAAAAUCCGCAACCGCUCGCCUUGCCUCCCAGCUGAUCGAGAAUCCGGCUUAGAUUUCGGUCCUCGAUUUCGAAAAAUACUUAAAAAUUAUUCGGACAACUUUCGGCCGGUCUCUGGGAACGAGGUCCGGCGAACGCCCUGACGUGGAACACGAAACGUCGUUUAUUAUUUUUUUUUCUAACGGGAAAAUGGGAUGAAUAUUUUUCCCUACGACGGAAUUAUUCAUUCCCAUUCGUGGCAGGAUUACUGACAUCUGCGGGAACGUCGUCGAGGGGGAAUAAUAAAUAUUUCGGAAUUGUUUUCAAGGUCUGCUUCGUGUUCGACGCUCAGGUCGCCCUAGCGAGCGUUUAGACAUACGUAUAAGUUAGCCAUGCAGUGAGCUUAGUUGAUUUUACACAUAGACCUUCAUCGACAUCGCUUAAACAUUGUGUGACAAAAUAUAUAUCCGAUGCUCGAGAAAAGUGUCAAUCUGUCCCGAAACGUGCUCAGCUUAAGACGUAGAUAUAUGCGUGUUCCGGGGGUCCCGGACGGUGUGCACUAGAUAGGUUAUUGUCGUUGUCUUUGUAGUACCUAUCUCGUGUUAGUUGUUAGUCAGAUCACCACGCGCCAACCUGUUUUUUUAAGGCGUCUGUUAAUAAUUUGGUUAAUCCUCGCCGCUCUCACUGUGAAUUGAAAUGAGCCGCCAGUGCCAAUCGAUGCGAAAUUUGGAUGAGAAAAAAAAAAAAAUAUUUAUUGUAUAUUUCGAAUGGAUUCUACUCAAGUUGGGUGACUCGACAAUGUCAAUGUAAGAGCAUGGAGAUACGAGGCAACGAUUGACUCGAAUGUUGGCGUAUCGAUCGUCGAAUUAAUUUCCCGACUUCUACUCGUGUCUUCCCUCAAGAGGUGCUCGACAUCUCGAUCUCGGGGACCGGGAAUUAAUGCUAAGCCACGAUCGUAAUCGAGAAGGGUGGUCGUGUCUUUAACGAGAAA
This is a long non-coding RNA of Orussus abietinus, 4858 nucleotides long. RefSeq lists it as uncharacterized. The transcript has 6 exons. The record is from RefSeq and is a predicted model, not a curated record. NCBI's taxonomy places the organism in Eukaryota, Metazoa, Arthropoda, Insecta, Hymenoptera, Orussidae.